UACGUAGGUGACCAGCGUUGUCCGGAUUUAUUGGGCGUAAAGAGCGUGUAGGCGGCCAUACAGGUCCGUUGUGAAAACUGGAGGCUCAACCUCCAGACGUCGACGGAAACCGUAUGGCUAGAGUCCGGAAGAGGAGAGUGGAAUUCCUGGUGUAGCGGUGAAAUGCGCAGAUAUCAGGAAGAACGCCCGUGGCGAAGGCGGCUCUCUGGGACGGUACUGACGCUGAGACGCGAAAGCGUGGGGAGCGAACAGG
Molecule: ribosomal RNA, 253 nt
Filed under: uncultured bacterium
Lineage: Bacteria
Description: partial 16S ribosomal RNA
Rfam family: Bacterial small subunit ribosomal RNA
Source: RNAcentral